AUCGAACGCUGGCGGCAUGCCUUACACAUGCAAGUCGAACGGUAACAGGUCUUCGGAUGCUGACGAGUGGCGAACGGGUUAGUAAUACAUCGGAACGUGCCUAGUAGUGGGGGAUAACUACUCGAAAGAGUGGCUAAUACCGCAUGAGAUCUACGGAUGAAAGCAGGGGAUCGCAAGACCUUGUGCUACUAGAGCGGCCGAUGGCAGAUUAGGUAGUUGGUGGGAUAAAAGCUUACCAAGCCGACGAUCUGUAGCUGGUCUGAGAGGACGAUCAGCCACACUGGGACUGAGACACGGCCCAGACUCCUACGGGAGGCAGCAGUGGGGAAUUUUGGACAAUGGGCGCAAGCCUGAUCCAGCAAUGCCGCGUGCAGGAUGAAGGCCUUCGGGUUGUAAACUGCUUUUGUACGGAACGAAAAGCCCCGGGUUAAUACCCUGGGGUCAUGACGGUACCGUAAGAAUAAGCACCGGCUAACUACGUGCCAGCCGCCGCCGUAA
RNAcentral lists this ribosomal RNA (498 nucleotides) under uncultured bacterium. Its description in RNAcentral is "partial 16S ribosomal RNA". It matches the Rfam family "Bacterial small subunit ribosomal RNA", at positions 30 to 523 of the family's 1533-position model. The record is from RNAcentral.